GAUGAACGCUGGCGGCGUGCUUAACACAUGCAAGUCGAACGGAAAGGCCCAAGCUUGCUUGGGUACUCGAGUGGCGAACGGGUGAGUAACACGUGGGUGAUCUGCCCUGCACUUCGGGAUAAGCCUGGGAAACUGGGGCUAAUACCGGAUAGGACCACAUUUUGGAUGGUGGGGGGGAGAGUUUUUCGGUGUGGGAUGAUCUCGCGGCCUAUCAUCUUGUUGGUGGGGUAGUGGCCUACCAAGGCGUCGACGGGUAGCCGGCCUGGGAGGGUGUACGGCCACCUUGGGGAUGGGAAACGGCCCAGAACCCCACGGGGGGGAAGAGGGGGGAAUAAUGCACAAUGGGGGCAAGCCCGAUGCAGCGAAGGCGGGUGGGGGAAGAAGGCCUUCCGGUUGUAAACCCGUUUCGCUAGGGAAGAAGGGUUAUGUGACGGUAACUGGAGAAGAAGCACCGGCUAACUACGUG
This 466-nucleotide ribosomal RNA is filed under the name uncultured bacterium. Its description in RNAcentral is "partial 16S ribosomal RNA". It matches the Rfam family "Bacterial small subunit ribosomal RNA", at positions 28 to 507 of the family's 1533-position model. The record is from RNAcentral.